RNAcentral lists this ribosomal RNA (433 nucleotides) under uncultured bacterium. RNAcentral's name for it is "partial 16S ribosomal RNA". It matches the Rfam family "Bacterial small subunit ribosomal RNA", at positions 29 to 507 of the family's 1533-position model. The record is from RNAcentral.
AACGAACGCUGGCGGCAGGCUUAACACAUGCAAGUCGAACGCACCUUUCGGGGUGAGUGGCCGACGGGUGAGUAACGCGUGGGAAUCUACCCUUCUCUACGGGAUAGCUCCGGGAAACUGGAAUUAAUACCGUAUACGUCCUGAGGGAGAAAGAUUUAUCGGGGAAGGAUGAGCCCGCGUUGGAUUAGCUAGUUGGUGGGGUAAAGGCCUACCAAGGCGACGAUCCAUAGCUGGUCUAAGAGGAUGAUCAGCCACAUUGGGACUGAGACACGGCCCAAACUCCUACGGGAGGCAGCAGUGGGGAAUAUUGGACAAUGGGCGCAAGCCUGACCCAGCCAUGCCGCGUGAGUGAUGAAGGCCCUAGGGUUGUAAAGCUCUUUCAGUGGGGACGAUAAUGACGGUACCCACAGAAGAAGCCCCGGCUAACUUCGUG